CUGCUGCUGCUACUGUCGGGGGAAGGCCACACCCACAAACAGCACCGUCAGCUCACUGCUCAUUCAGAGAGCUCUGCCACCGAUUAGCAUUCACCCAGCAGCACCGGGACACCUGCUGAAGAUGGCUGCUGGCAGAGGAGCACGGCGCUGUGGAUGUGUUGGAGCAGUUCUUCUCCCAACUACUGCAGGGGACAGCCGAGUGGGUCCAGUACCACUGUCCGGUGUCGCUAGAUGAGGAGAUCCAGUGGGCGGAGCUCCAUUUGACGGUGAAUGCAGGGGCAGAGCUCUCGUCUGACCUCGCUGAGCUGAAUGAGGAGCUCAAGAGGUUUCAGAAGCUGCAGCCUUCGUCCACGACCUGCUGCAGGGUGUCAGAAUCUUUCCAAGCCAACAGAGGACUGUUGUGGUUACAGGAAGGAUAAUGGGUCUGAGAAGUUCAUUAAAAUGCCCGUCUUUGUAGCACACAUUUCAUCACAGCCGCCUAGUUAACAAUCCGUGAACUUUGUGUGCUAAAUAAGAAUUUGACAGGCUUAACUUGUUAGUUUGCUACACGCCUAAUUAAUAUCGCUUUAACAAACUUACGUAGCUCGCUUAAAUCUAUUGAUCUAGAUCGAGAAACUAGCUAGCUAACACUAAAUAGCUUAGAAUAACACAUUCUUACUGAGGAGUUGCAUAGAGUAGACAUGUUUCUCUACCUUAAAGUUAACUAGCUUAACUGUUUCAGCUAACAGAUGAGUUCAUGGCAUUUGUUAUGGCACUUUUUGAUUUUCAAUGCCAUGCCAUCCUUGAAGUUCAUAAAACAUUACAUCUUGAACAUUUAUGCCUAGUCUCUUCAGGUUUUUCUGCAACCAGGUUGGCCAUGCACGUCUUUUGGUUUACAAACAAUGAAGGGGUUUAUUUAAGACUGUAGUAAACAAUCUGGAACACAGCCAUACUUACACUGGGUUUUUAAAUAAUAAUAAUAAUAAUUUUUUAUAAUGACUGGCAGUAGAUUGACUUAAAUGAGGACUCUUAGUGAUGGCAUUUGACCAAUCUUUGACCAAUCCAAGUAUUUUUACUAGCGCCAUCCUAUUAGUCCCUAAUUGCUUCUCUUGGUACUCUGCAAUAAGAGGAAUUGAAUUUAACACUUAACAAUGUGGUGUUAUGGAUUUCUCACCAUGCAUUACCAGAAUGUCUGGUGGAACAGCACUGAUAGAGACCUAUGCUGUGUGUGAAACCACUCACUCGUUCACUCUUCCCUAUAUAGCGAAAGACAUUUGAGUCCACUAUAUGGGGAAGAAGUGAAGGAAAAUGAGUGGCGAAUUCGGACGCUGAUAAUGCGUACAUAAUGAUAACUCUGUCUCGGACAUUAUGGAUUGUAUUAAAACAAUAAAGUUUAUUUUCUCACGGUU
Ictalurus punctatus (channel catfish) is the source of this 1388-nucleotide long non-coding RNA. RefSeq lists it as uncharacterized. Lineage: Eukaryota; Metazoa; Chordata; Actinopteri; Siluriformes; Ictaluridae. The record is from RefSeq and is a predicted model, not a curated record. The transcript is spliced from 2 exons.